CCGAAUUCGUCGACAACAGAGUUUGAUCCUGGCUCAGGAUGAACGCUGGCGGCGUGCUUAACACAUGCAAGUCGAACGAUGAAGCCGGAGCUUGCUUUGGUGGAUUAGUGGCGAACGGGUGAGUAACACGUGAGUAACCUGCCCCCGACUCUGGGAUAAGCCCGGGAAACUGGGUCUAAUACCGGAUAUGACCAUGGAACGCAUGUUUUGUGGUGGAAAGAUUUAUCGGUGGGGGAUGGACUCGCGGCCUAUCAGCUUGUUGGUGAGGUAAUGGCUCACCAAGGCGACGACGGGUAGCCGGCCUGAGAGGGUGACCGGCCACACUGGGACUGAGACACGGCCCAGACUCCUACGGGAGGCAGCAGUGGGGAAUAUUGCACAAUGGGCGAAAGCCUGAUGCAGCGACGCCGCGUGAGGGAUGACGGCCUUCGGGUUGUAAACCUCUUUCAGUAGGGAAGAAGCGAAAGUGACGGUACCUGCAGAAGAAGCGCCGGCUAACUACGUGCCAGCAGCCGCGGUAAUACGUAGGGCGCAAGCGUUAUCCGGAUUUAUUGGGCGUAAAGAGCUCGUAGGCGGUUUGUCGCGUCUGCCGUGAAAGUCCGAGGCUCAACCUCGGAUCUGCGGUGGGUACGGGCAGGCUAGAGUGAUGUAGGGGAGACUGGAAUUCCUGGUGUAGCGGUGAAAUGCGCAGAUAUCAGGAGGAACACCGAUGGCGAAGGCAGGUCUCUGGGCAUUUACUGACGCUGAGGAGCGAA
RNAcentral lists this ribosomal RNA (755 nucleotides) under Glutamicibacter protophormiae. Its description in RNAcentral is "partial 16S ribosomal RNA". It matches the Rfam family "Bacterial small subunit ribosomal RNA", at positions 1 to 757 of the family's 1533-position model. Lineage: Bacteria; Bacillati; Actinomycetota; Actinomycetes; Micrococcales; Micrococcaceae. The record is from RNAcentral.